UCGGAAUUGAGUUUCCAAUAACAAGCAAAGGAAUCAAGCGAUUCGAAUCAGCAAAUGAGGAUUUUAGCAUCAAUGUUUAUGAAGUCGAUGAGAAUGGAAAAAACGUUGUGGGACCCACAGUGAGGACUAAGAAAAUUCGGACUCACCACAUAAACUUGCUUGGAAUUAAUAGUGAUAAUAUGCAAAUGAUGCAUUAUGCAUAUAUAACGUGCAUGAGAAAAUUAUGUUAUUCACAACAUAGUAAAUCCCAUAAUACUGCAUAUUUUUGCGAGAACUGCUUGCAAUUUUAUAGUACAACAAAUACUAUACAUGACACUAAAGAGUGUGGAAAAGUUGCUGCUUUGUAUCCUGAACCUAAUACCAAAACUGUAUUCAAAAGUUUUUCUAAAAAACUAUCUCCACCAGUAGUAAUUUAUGCUGACAUCGAAGCAGUUUUGGAAAAUUACCAUAUAAAUCUUAAUGAUCCAUCAAAAUCAUCAACUACUAUGGCACAGAGGCAUACAGGAUGUGCAGCAUCAUUUUAUAUUGUACAUAAAUACAAUGAACAUCUAAAUGAGAUGUGGACAUACGAAGGACCGGAUUGUAUCCAAAAAUUUUGUCAAGCACUUAGGAUGAAAACCGAUGGACUUUAUGAGAAGUACUGGAAGUCCUAUAAAAAACAAAUCUAUCAGUUUAACAUUUGGGAUGAGGAUUAUCAGGAACACGGUGAUUGCUAUGCCUGCGAGAAACAAAUUUCUGAUGAUGAUCGAGAAAAAUUCUUUGAUCAGUUUACAGGACAAUAUGUAGGUCCUAUUCAUAAGCUGUGUAAACAGACAUUUAGAUAAAGCGAUCCCUUUUUCCCGGUAGUUUUUCAUAACUUGUCUCGUUAUGAUAUACAUUUAUUUGUUACGUCAAUAAAAGAUGAACUAAGACCCA
Long non-coding RNA from Drosophila miranda, 915 nucleotides. RefSeq lists it as uncharacterized. The record is from RefSeq and is a predicted model, not a curated record. Lineage: Eukaryota; Metazoa; Arthropoda; Insecta; Diptera; Drosophilidae. The transcript has 2 exons.